Molecule: ribosomal RNA, 527 nt
Filed under: uncultured bacterium
Lineage: Bacteria
Description: bacterial SSU rRNA
Rfam family: Bacterial small subunit ribosomal RNA
Source: RNAcentral
AAUAGAUACCCAGGUAGUCCAUGCCGUAAACGUUGGGCACUAGGUGUGGGGCUCAUUCCACGAGCUCCGUGCCGCAGCUAACGCAUUAAGUGCCCCGCCUGGGGAGUACGGCCGCAAGGCUAAAACUCAAAGGAAUUGACGGGGGCCCGCACAAGCGGCGGAGCAUGCGGAUUAAUUCGAUGCAACGCGAAGAACCUUACCAAGGCUUGACAUAUACCGAAAACUCGUGGAGACACGAGGUCCGCAAGGGCGGUAUACAGGUGGUGCAUGGUUGUCGUCAGCUCGUGUCGUGAGAUGUUGGGUUAAGUCCCGCAACGAGCGCAACCCUCGCCCUAUGUUGCCAGCGGGUAAUGCCGGGGACUCAUAGGAGACUGCCGGGGUCAACUCGGAGGAAGGUGGGGAUGAGGUCAAAUCAUCAUGCCCCUUAUGUCUUGGGCUUCACGCAUGCUACAAUGGCCGGUACAAAGGGCUGCGAUACCGCAAGGUGGAGCGAAUCUCAAAAAGCCGGUCUCAGUUCGGAUUGGGGU